RNAcentral lists this small nucleolar RNA (52 nucleotides) under Trypanosoma cruzi. RNAcentral describes it as "C/D small nucleolar RNA (snoRNA), TB9C4C3, 3' partial". The record is from RNAcentral. Lineage: Eukaryota; Euglenozoa; Kinetoplastea; Trypanosomatida; Trypanosomatidae.
UGAUGCGUCAGGACACACAGCGUGCGUGACUGCUGGAUUACACGCAAUGCCG